This 256-nucleotide ribosomal RNA is filed under the name uncultured bacterium. Its description in RNAcentral is "partial 16S ribosomal RNA". It matches the Rfam family "Bacterial small subunit ribosomal RNA", at positions 98 to 354 of the family's 1533-position model. The record is from RNAcentral.
CGGGACGGGUGAGUAACGCGUGGGUAACCUGCCUCAUACAGGGGGAUAACAGUUAGAAAUGACUGCUAAUACCGCAUAAGACCACAGCACUGCAUGGUGCAGUGGUAAAAACUCCGGUGGUAUGAGAUGGACCCGCGUCUGAUUAGCCAGUUGGCAGGGUAACGGCCUACCAAAGCGACGAUCAGUAGCCGGCCUGAGAGGGUGAACGGCCACAUUGGGACUGAGACACGGCCCAAACUCCUACGGAAGGCAGCAG